RNAcentral lists this ribosomal RNA (444 nucleotides) under uncultured bacterium. Its description in RNAcentral is "bacterial SSU rRNA". It matches the Rfam family "Bacterial small subunit ribosomal RNA", at positions 331 to 792 of the family's 1533-position model. The record is from RNAcentral.
CCAGACUCCUACGGGAGGCAGCAGUGGGGAAUAUUGCACAAUGGGGGAAACCCUGAUGCAGCGACGCCGCGUGAAGGACGAAGUAUUUCGGUAUGUAAACUUCUAUCAGCAGGGAAGAAAAUGACGGUACCUGACUAAGAAGCCCCGGCUAACUACGUGCCAGCAGCCGCGGUAAUACGUAGGGGGCAAGCGUUAUCCGGAUUUACUGGGUGUAAAGGGAGCGUAGACGGCAUGGCAAGUCUGAUGUGAAAACCCGGGGCUCAACCCCGGGACUGCAUUGGAAACUGUCAGGCUGGAGUGUCGGAGAGGCAAGUGGAAUUCCUAGUGUAGCGGUGAAAUGCGUAGAUAUUAGGAGGAACACCAGUGGCGAAGGCGGCUUGCUGGACGAUGACUGACGUUGAGGCUCGAAAGCGUGGGGAGCAAACAGGAUUAGAUACCCCCGUA